GUCUGUUUCAGAGGCCAGAGCGACAAGAGAACUGACCAAUAGAAGUGGGACAUGGCCAAGGAGGCGGGAUAACGGCACAUCGAUCACCCUGGGCCAAUUAUGUUCUCCAGUCACGGAUAUUGACAGUGGGAUCAACUGGACUUUGAGUGAGCUGGGAAGCCCCCAUUCCCCAGUUGGGACUCUGAAUUACUGAGACUGUGCAAGGAGAAAGCUGGAACCAUGCCCCAAGCUGAAGGAAAAACUGCCAGGGAAGCACGCUUCCCUCCUGCCUGGACCAGCCAAUAUGCCACAAUAAUGCUCUGGAGGAGAACUGAAUCUCCGUGGCUCUGUCCGUCCUUAGCUCCUCUCCCACGAUUGUUGACAAGACUGCCCAUUCGAGUCAGCCAUGGUCUUGUUUUUGAUGAUGCAGGCACCUGUUCACUGUGAACUGGACUGAGACCAAACUCGUUUCACACAGGGUCAUGAGCUGCUGGACAGUAACCAGAGUUGGUCACGUCACACCUGACCUGAGCCAGGCUUUGCAGAAGAAGCACCUGUUCCCAUCUCAGUUUUACUAUUUACAAUUCUGGGCUAUAAUCAAAGUGUAGUGAUAACCCCAGUGUCCAUCUGGCCUGCAU
Molecule: long non-coding RNA, 617 nt
Organism: Mauremys reevesii (Reeves's turtle)
Lineage: Eukaryota; Metazoa; Chordata; Testudines; Geoemydidae
Exons: 3
Source: RefSeq, a predicted model, not a curated record